This 519-nucleotide long non-coding RNA is filed under the name Felis catus (domestic cat). Its description in RNAcentral is "lncRNA (ENSFCAG00000047082.1)". Lineage: Eukaryota; Metazoa; Chordata; Mammalia; Carnivora; Felidae. The record is from RNAcentral.
GUUGUGUGCCCCGCCUUCCAGCACUGGAUGUCCCCAGCCCCAUGCUGCAGAAUGGGAGUUUUCCUGGUUACCUUCAUGUUGAAAUAGACUUCACACUAUCCAGGUGAUGAAAAUAAUCUCCAGGGACUAAGUCAUUCUUUGAAGAUGAACUGAAUCUGUGUACCAUGGAAUAUAAAAUUGUGGGGGAAUGUGUAACCUACUGGCCUUAGAUGUGAAACCAUAAAAUUAUGAGCUACUGAAACCAGGAAAACAUACCUAAAAAAAAGAAAGAAAACAUCCUUGGACUUGAAGAAAGAUGUAUAAACACAAAAGGAGAAAUGCGUGGUGACAAGGGCAAUAAUACAAUUUGCAAGACUGGCUUGAUGGUCCUUUGAAGCCACACACGCCUCCCUCAAGGACCAGAGAGUUCUUUAUUCCGGUAAUUCUCUACACCUUGGCAGACGAGAAAAAAAACAAACACAGCCAUACUGACAACAUGAUCUUCCGGAAAAUGUCUUCUCCAUCCUGAAAGGGUCCUGU